CCGCCAUUGAUCUGGACGGAGCACAUGGAACGAAGCGGCGGCAUAUUUCGAGUACGUAGUAUGUCAAAAACAGAUGAAAAAAUUUCAAAAGGAACAAUAGUUUGCAACAUCUGUUGCUGAAGCAAAAAACGAGUUUACGAGCAACUCCCUGCUUAAUAGUUUGUGCAGAGUCGUUUAUGCUAUCCAUUGAUGGAGGAACAUGUAUGUGAGAUAAAGGUUUUUGGAUCCUACUUCAGCAAGCUCUACGUUAGAG
This is a long non-coding RNA of Uloborus diversus, 253 nucleotides long. RefSeq lists it as uncharacterized. The record is from RefSeq and is a predicted model, not a curated record. The transcript has 3 exons. Lineage: Eukaryota; Metazoa; Arthropoda; Arachnida; Araneae; Uloboridae.